Molecule: non-coding RNA, 210 nt
Organism: Pelobates cultripes (western spadefoot toad)
Lineage: Eukaryota; Metazoa; Chordata; Amphibia; Anura; Pelobatidae
Source: the annotation of a GenBank genome assembly
GCUGAGCAUAAUACAGAGAUACUCAUACGAUACAGAGAGCUGAGCAUAAUACAGAGAUACUCAUACCAUACAGAGAGCUGAGCAUAAUACAGAGAUACUCAUACGAUACAGAGAGCUGAGCAUAAUACAGAGAUACUCAUACAAUACAGAGAGCUGAGCAUAAUACAGAGAUACUCAUACAAACAGGGAGCUGAGCAUAAUAAAGAGAUA